UGACAAACAAAGUUCGAAGGUCGGAAAUCGCAUGAAGCUUAAUAGGGAAGACCGGUGAGAUACCGGCACGGACCCGCCACUGUAAGGAAUAGCAGCAAGCAGCAUGCUGUGAUGUCCGAGUCAGAAAAUCUGCCUAUUUACAUAACGCUUA
Molecule: non-coding RNA, 151 nt
Filed under: Bacillus sp. (in: firmicutes)
Lineage: Bacteria; Bacillati; Bacillota; Bacilli; Caryophanales; Bacillaceae
Also listed under: 1 other name
Source: RNAcentral